AUCGAACGCUGGCGGCAUGCUUUACACAUGCAAGUCGAACGGUAACAGGUUAAGCUGACGAGUGGCGAACGGGUGAGUAAUGCAUCGGAACGUGCCCGGUCGUGGGGGAUAACGCAGCGAAAGUUGCGCUAAUACCGCAUACGAUCUGAGGAUGAAAGCGGGGGACCGUAAGGCCUCGCGCGAUCGGAGCGGCCGAUGUCAGAUUAGGUAGUUGGUGGGGUAAAGGCUCACCAAGCCAACGAUCUGUAGCUGGUCUGAGAGGACGACCAGCCACACUGGGACGGAGACACGGCCCAGACUCCUACGGGAGGCAGCAGUGGGGAAUUUUGGACAAUGGGCGAAAGCCUGAUCCAGCAAUGCCGCGUGCAGGAAGAAGGCCUUCGGGUUGUAAACUGCUUUUGUACGGAGCGAAAAGGUCUCCUCUAAUACAGGGGGCUCAUGACGGUACCGUAAGAAUAAGCACCGGCUAACUACGUGCCAGCAGCCGCAGUAA
Molecule: ribosomal RNA, 493 nt
Filed under: uncultured bacterium
Lineage: Bacteria
Description: partial 16S ribosomal RNA
Rfam family: Bacterial small subunit ribosomal RNA
Source: RNAcentral